UGCGUAGGUGGCAAGCGUUAUCCGGAUUUAUUGGGCGUAAAGGGAACGCAGGCGGUCUUUUAAGUCUGAUGUGAAAGCCUUCGGCUUAACCGGAGUAGUGCAUUGGAAACUGGGAGACUUGAGUGCAGAAGAGGAGAGUGGAACUCCAUGUGUAGCGGUGAAAUGCGUAGAUAUAUGGAAGAACACCAGUGGCGAAAGCGGCUCUCUGGUCUGUAACUGACGCUGAGGUUCGAAAGCGUGGGUAGCGAACAGG
Molecule: ribosomal RNA, 253 nt
Filed under: uncultured bacterium
Lineage: Bacteria
Description: partial 16S ribosomal RNA
Rfam family: Bacterial small subunit ribosomal RNA
Source: RNAcentral